RNAcentral lists this ribosomal RNA (420 nucleotides) under uncultured bacterium. RNAcentral's name for it is "bacterial SSU rRNA". It matches the Rfam family "Bacterial small subunit ribosomal RNA", at positions 82 to 487 of the family's 1533-position model. The record is from RNAcentral.
GGAAGGGAAUAUAGCGGCACGACUGGUGAGUAAUGCGCGAGUAAGUUACCUCUAAGUCGGGGAUAGCCUUGCGAAAGCGAGAGUAAUACCCGAUGUGUUUACAGCUGCACAAGCAGUUGUAAGUAAAGGAGGCCCGCAAGGGUUUUUGUUUAGAGAUGAGCUCGCGUCCUAUCAGCUAGUUGGUAGGGUAAUGGCCUACCAAGGCUUUUGACAUGUAGCUGGCCUGAGAGGGUGGUCAGCCACAUGGGGACUGAGACACUGCCCCAACUCCUACGGGAGGCUGCAGUCGAGGAUAUUUAGCAAUGGACGAAAGUCUGACUAUGUGACGCCGCGUGAGGGAUGAAGGUCUUCGGAUCGUAAACCUCUUUCGAUAGGGAAGAAAACCUAUUCUUAACGGAAUAGACUGACGGUACCUAAAAG